ACAUCCAGAGAAUUUAGCAGAGAUGGCUUUAGUGCCUUCGGGAACUCUGAGACAGGUGCUGCAUGGCUGUCGUCAGCUCGUGUUGUGAAAUGUUGGGUUAAGUCCCGNAACGAGCGCAACCCUUUAUCCUUUGUUGCCAGCACGUAAUGGUGGGAACUCAAAGGAGACUGCCGGUGAUAAACCGGAGGAAGGUGGGGAUGACGUCAAGUCAUCAUGGCCCUUACGAGUAGGGCUACACACGUGCUACAAUGGCGCAUACAAAGAGAAGCGACCUCGCGAGAGCAAGCGGACCUCAUAAAGUGCGUCGUAGUCCGGAUUGGAGUCUGCAACUCGACUCCAUGAAGUCGGAAUCGCUAGUAAUCGUAAAUCAGAAUGUUACGGUGAAUACGUUCCCGGGCCUUGUACACACCGCCCGUCACACCAUGGGAGUGGGUUGCAAAAGAAGUAGAUAGCUUAACCUUCGGGAGGGCGUUUACCACUUUGUGAUUCAUGACUGGGGUGAAGUCGUAACAAGGUAAGCGUAGUGCU
This 528-nucleotide ribosomal RNA is filed under the name uncultured bacterium. Its description in RNAcentral is "bacterial SSU rRNA". It matches the Rfam family "Bacterial small subunit ribosomal RNA", at positions 984 to 1509 of the family's 1533-position model. The record is from RNAcentral.